GAUGAACGCUGGCGGCGUGCCUAAUACAUGCCAGUCGAGCGAACGGACGAGAAGCUUGCUUCUCUGAUGUUAGCGGCGGACGGGUGAGUAACACGUGGAUAACCUACCUAUAAGACUGGGAUAACUUCGGGAAACCGGAGCUAAUACCGGAUAAUAUUUUGAACCGCAUGGUUCAAAAGUGAAAGACGGUCUUGCUGUCACUUAUAGAUGGAUCCGCGCUGCAUUAGCUAGUUGGUAAGGUAACGGCUUACCAAGGCAACGAUGCAUAGCCGACCUGAGAGGGUGAUCGGCCACACUGGAACGGAGACACGGUCCAGGCUCCUGCGGGAGGCAGCAGUAGGGAAUCUUCCGCAAUGGGCGAAAGCCUGACGGAGCAACGCCGCGUGAGUGAUGAAGGUCUUCGGAUCGUAAAACUCUGUUAUUAGGGAAGAACAUAUGUGUAAGUAACUGUGCACAUCUUGACGGUACCUAAUCAGAAAGCCACGGCUAACUACGUG
This 497-nucleotide ribosomal RNA is filed under the name uncultured bacterium. Its description in RNAcentral is "partial 16S ribosomal RNA". It matches the Rfam family "Bacterial small subunit ribosomal RNA", at positions 28 to 507 of the family's 1533-position model. The record is from RNAcentral.